Molecule: long non-coding RNA, 1053 nt
Organism: Sphaeramia orbicularis (orbiculate cardinalfish)
Lineage: Eukaryota; Metazoa; Chordata; Actinopteri; Kurtiformes; Apogonidae
Exons: 4
Source: RefSeq, a predicted model, not a curated record
UUUAGGUUUUAGGCUGAGGUUCCUCAGCACAUUAGAGACCCACUGCAUGUCAGAGCAGCAUUUGUUCAUCAUUUAACUGGAGUCUAUUCAUUAUUUCAUUCCUAUACAGUUUCUUUCAUGACAGAGGAUGAUGCGAGUUCUUGUUCUCUUUGUAAUGUUAACUGGAGUAACUCAUGCUUUCUUUACACCUGGUGAAACCAAAUGCAAUGCCACCCAGAACACAUCUCUGUGCUCUGCUCCUUAUGGGGGAAAUAUUUACAUCCAGCUUAUGACCAAUGCAAGUGGAUAUCGGAUACACUGCACAAAAAACACUACAAAUGUGUUCAAACUGAAAAAUGAAAAAGUAACAAUAGAUGAGGCAUUCAGGGACAGAAUGGACAUGUUCAUCAACAAUGGCACGCUCAAAAUCAGCAGCGUGGAGAAGAAUGAUGCAGGUCAAUACACCGUGGAGAUAUUCUCAAUUGAUGAUGGGCGCCUUCUGAGAAUCAUUAGAGUGGACCUGGAUGUGCAUGAAAACAAAUGGUCCAUCCUGAUCCCUGUCUGUGGGGCAGGGGCUGCUCUGCUGUUACUAUUACUGCUCAUAUCUGUCUGUAUCUGCAAGAAAAUGAGGCGUCGGAAAUAGUCAGGUUCAAGUAAUAAAUGAGAAUGAAAAUCUCCAAGAUGAGUUUGGAUUUUAAUGGACUGUUCUCAACAAUGGACACUGAACUUAAGACUCAAAGAACCAUUUUUUGUGUAUUUAAUUCUUAUGAAAAGAUAUUUGUUAAAUAUGUCAUUUUAAUCCAAUUUCAGUACAACAUAUGGGAUGUAUUAGUAUUUGUUGUGUAAGUGAUCUGUUUUGCUAAGAACUUAAUCAAAGACUGCUCAUCACUGUUAAUACUACAUUUUGUCAUUUUAGCUUCAGAAAAAGUGGUAAAAUCACUAAACUCAAAAUAACAUUUUCAUAAUUUGAAUACUUUUUACUGCUACUAUUAAAGAAGAUGUUAUAAAUCAGGUAGAUAAACUGCAGCUGGCAAAAGUUCCAAUAUGGAAAUAAAUUGAUUUUAUGAAUCACCA